AGCUUAAUGCCUGAUUAAAAGGGUUACCUUGAUAGGGUAGAUAAUGUGGGAGUUCCCGCUUAAGCUA
Molecule: transfer RNA, 67 nt
Filed under: Cercopagis pengoi
Lineage: Eukaryota; Metazoa; Arthropoda; Branchiopoda; Diplostraca; Cercopagididae
Description: tRNA-Ile
Source: RNAcentral